This 1788-nucleotide long non-coding RNA is filed under the name Heterocephalus glaber (naked mole-rat). RNAcentral describes it as "lncRNA (ENSHGLG00000033514.1)". Lineage: Eukaryota; Metazoa; Chordata; Mammalia; Rodentia; Bathyergidae. The record is from RNAcentral.
GGGCUGCAAGCAGUAGGGGGCGAGCCUUCGCCCGGCUGAGGGGCCGGGUACUGCGUGCCCGGAAAGGUGGUCCGGGCCUCGAAGAGAGCUUUCGGAGGGAGGGCCGUCGGGCCAGCCGCUGUGUUCGGCUUCUUACUCAAUAAUAAUAAUUAACAAGUCUACACUUCCACGUUCUCUUGCUCGUGUAGUGCCAGGCACUGUUAGAGACUUUGAAUAAUAAUGCAAGUACUUAUUGUAAACAUGAUGUUUAUGGUGACUGAUACGUGCUAGGCACUAUGACAGAUCGUAAAUGAUAAUUAUAAAUAUAAUAAACUACCAAAUUAUUAUUUACUUAUUUUUUUGCCACUCUGGUGAUGCUUUCAAUAACAACAAACAACUGUCAUAAAUAAAAGCUGCUCCACAUUAAAUCUUUGCCAUGCAACCAGCACCGUCCUGGAUCCUUCGCUAAUAGACACCAUUUAUUCAUGCAACAAAGGCUACAGAAUACAAUGAUGAGAAAAAUUUACCUUAUUCCACCUUCCUGCUAGAAUCGAGUGAAGAGACAUCCUUUGAAUACUGAGGCUGGCUUGCUAGAGCAGCAAUUCAUUCCCUCACCACAGUGAGGACGGCACUGUGCAGUCUCCUCCCGUUGUUUACUUUUCAAGAGUCAGACAGCAAUCUCAUCAUCAUUCCUUCAGGCCCUCUGCCAUGCUGCCCUGCUUUGGAGCUAGCUGACAAUGGACUGAAAUCUCUACAAACUCUCAGUGUGGCGGCUCUGGGUUGCAGCGCUCAUUCUUGGAAGACUCGAGAAUCUAAUGGUCCGUUGAAGAGGUGGAGGAAGACGUUUAUUACACCAGGGAGCCCUGGUGGACUCAGAGGAGUCUGAGUGCUCCACCAGAAAUGACAGCCUCCUUGCAUAGGGAUCUACAAGGGCAUAAGCAUUUCCUCCAAGUGCUCCUGGUGCCUUUCUACUCUUGGACCAACAACAAUCCCCAGCUCAACUUCUGUCACACUGAACCGAUACAGAGGAGUGAGAUGUGGAGGGUGUGGAGUUUGAUCCACUGGUACGAAUACCGCAGUGCCCACCAGACACCAUCAGAGCCGCAGACGUGCCAGGACUUCAGUUUCCAAAAACCAUUCUGAAGUGACUUCAGAAUACUUAGUUAAGAAUAUGUGAUGAAUAAUAUUGCCAAAAGAAACCACUAAAAGAUGCAAACAAAGUAAGUGAAGACCUUUUCCUCCUGCUUUCACUGAGUAUGAAUUAUGGAGCUGAGAUACAAAUGUCAUCAUUGUUAAGUACUGGAAUGAUACAACAAGAGAAACAGUACCCGAUCAAUUUCUUGGACAGACUGAUGAAAACGAGGGCAAAGAGGUCCUAGAAACGCACGAGCACAAACCCCAUGCCACUUGUGCUGUUGGUAAGACACGUGGCUAUGGUCAAGCAGAAUCACUCCCUACAUGUGGACAGGAGCAUGAAAGUCAGAAAGAGAAACCAGCUGUAAAGGGCCCUUGGCUGGAACAUCAACUGUGACCACAGGCAUUCAGAUGAGGCUCAGAAGACUUCGAGUUUACCGGUGGUGUAGCAUCUAGUGGCCAGUCUGGUGAAGGUCACAAAUGUGUGCUUUUUGGUGAAAUAAGGCAGAAAAGGCCAUACAAGCAUGGCCUCCUCUGUAAUGAGUUAAGAAAUCGCUGUUUUUGUUUUGUUGUCAUGGAGACAGAGACCUAGCAGUGGGAAUGCUUGGGACAGACCAGGGCAGUGCCUGCAUGCCCUGGAAUCACCUGAAGAUGCAUAAAAUGUAAUCAAGCCAC